AGUCGAGGGGUAACAUUGUAGCUUGCUACAGAUGACGACCGGCGCACGGGUGCGUAACGCGUAUGAAACCUACCUAAUACAGAGGGAUAGCCCAGAGAAAUUUGGAUUAAUACCUCAUAGUACUGUUGAAUCGCAUGGUUCAAUAGUUAAAGAUUUAUCGGUAUUAGAUGGUCAUGCGUUCUAUUAGUUAGUUGGUAAGGUAACGGCUUACCAAGACAUCGAUAGAUAGGGGCCCUGAGAGGGGGAUCCCCCACACUGGUACUGAGACACGGACCAGACUCCUACGGGAGGCAGCAGUGAGGAAUAUUGGACAAUGGAGGCAACUCUGAUCCAGCCAUGCCGCGUGAAGGAAGACUGCCCUAUGGGUUGUAAACUUCUUUUAUAGAGGAAGAAACGCAGAUACGUGUAUUUGUUUGACGGUACUCUACGAAUAAGGAUCGGCUAACUCCGUGCCAGCAGCCGCGGUAAUACGGAGGAUCCAAGCGUUAUCCGGAAUCAUUGGGUUUAAAGGGUCCGCAGGCUGUUGUUUAAGUCAGAGGUGAAAGUUUGCAGCUUAACUGUAAAAUUGCCUUUGAUACUGGAUGACUUGAGUUAUAAUGAAGUGGUUAGAAUAUGUAGUGUAGCGGUGAAAUGCAUAGAUAUUACAUAGAAUACCGAUUGCGAAGGCAGAUCACUAAUUAUAUACUGACGCUGAGGGACGAAAGCGUGGGGAGCGAACAGGAUUAGAUACCCUGGUAGUCCACGCCGUAAACGAUGGUUACUAGCUGUUUGGACUUCCG
Molecule: ribosomal RNA, 779 nt
Filed under: Kordia sp. Kd111
Lineage: Bacteria; Pseudomonadati; Bacteroidota; Flavobacteriia; Flavobacteriales; Flavobacteriaceae
Description: bacterial SSU rRNA
Rfam family: Bacterial small subunit ribosomal RNA
Source: RNAcentral